Schistosoma haematobium is the source of this 48-nucleotide non-coding RNA. The record is from Rfam. NCBI's taxonomy places the organism in Eukaryota, Metazoa, Platyhelminthes, Trematoda, Strigeidida, Schistosomatidae.
AUCCAGCUGACGAAUACCAAAUAGGACGAAACGCGCGUCAAACUGGAU